This 69-nucleotide ribosomal RNA is filed under the name Gymnadenia x densiflora. RNAcentral describes it as "partial 5.8S ribosomal RNA". The record is from RNAcentral. Lineage: Eukaryota; Viridiplantae; Streptophyta; Magnoliopsida; Asparagales; Orchidaceae.
AUCGAGUUUUUGAACGCAAGUUGCGCCUGAGGCCAGCUGGCCGAGGGCACGUCCGCCUGGGCGUCAAGC